RNAcentral lists this ribosomal RNA (441 nucleotides) under uncultured bacterium. RNAcentral describes it as "partial 16S ribosomal RNA". It matches the Rfam family "Bacterial small subunit ribosomal RNA", at positions 338 to 795 of the family's 1533-position model. The record is from RNAcentral.
CCUACGGGCGACAGCAGUGGGGAAUAUUGCACAAUGGGGGAAACCCUGAUGCAGCGACGCCGCGUGAGUGAAGAAGGAUUUCGGUAUGGAAAGCUCUAUCAGCAGGGAAGAAGAAAGACGGUACCUGACCAAGAAGCCCUGGCCAACUACGUGCCAGCAGCCGCGGUAAUACGCAGGGGGCAAGCGUUAUCCGGAUUUACUGGGUGUAAAGGGAGCGUAGACGGCUGUGCAAGUCGGAAGUGAAAGCCCAGGGCUCAACCCUGGGACUGCUUUGGAAACUGUGGAGCUAGAGUGCUGGAGAGGUAAGUGGAAUUCCUAGUGUAGCGGUGAAAUGCGUAGAUAUUAGGAGGAACACCAGUGGCGAAGGCGGCUUACUGGACAGUAACUGACGUUGAGGCUCGAAAGCGUGGGGAGCAAACAGGAUUAGAUACCCCUGUAGUC